GAUGAACGCUGGCGGCGUGCCUAAUACAUGCAAGUCGAGCGAACGGACGAGACGCUUGCUUCUCUGAUGUUAGCGGCGGACGGGUGAGUAACACGUGGAUAACCUACCUAUAAGACUGGGAUCACUUCGGGAAACCGGAGCUAAUACCGGAUAAUAUUUUGAACCGCAUGGUUCAAAAGUGAAAGACGGUCUUGCUGUCACUUAUAGAUGGAUCCGCGCUGCAUUAGCUAGUUGGUAAGGUAACGGCUUACCAAGGCAACGAUGCAUAGCCGACCUGAGAGGGUGAUCGGCCACACUGGAACUGAGACACGGUCCAGACGCCUACGGGAGGCAGCAGUAGGGAAUCUUCCGCAAUGGGCGAAAGACUGACGGAGCAACGCCGCGUGAGUGAUGAAGGUCUUCGGAUCGUAAAACUCUGUUAUUAGGGAAGAACAUAUGUGUAAGUAACUGUGCACAUCUUGACGGUACCUAAUCAGAAAGCCACGGCUAACUACGUG
RNAcentral lists this ribosomal RNA (497 nucleotides) under uncultured bacterium. Its description in RNAcentral is "partial 16S ribosomal RNA". It matches the Rfam family "Bacterial small subunit ribosomal RNA", at positions 28 to 507 of the family's 1533-position model. The record is from RNAcentral.